UCCGCCUGCAGCUCACCCCACCGCCAGCCCCACACCGCACCCCACUCACAACUAAGGACACUGCAAAGGGGACCCUCAGGGCUCCACCAAUGCUCCCCAGAGCAGGGACACAGCUCUGUGCCUCCAUUCUUUCCAUGUACUGUGUCCAGAUCCCUUCCCACCUUGCACCCAGAGCCACGCUGCCCCAUGAGCUCUGAGCAGCCCCACUACAGGACAGAGCAGCCAGCUGGCAACCAGCACCUGCAAGCAAAGCAUGGCCAAGCCCACUCCCUCCCUGCAGGGUGUUUCCAGUGCUGCAGGGGUGACGUGGGUGGAAGAGGGGUGUCCCCGGCCUGGCUCCCCACGACGGUGCUGGCUCUGCUCUCACUGGCCCUGAGCCUGCCUGGGAUGCUGAGUAAAGCCCCAUAUCCCGUGCAGUCAGAGCAGGGAGCACACAGCCAGCCCUACUGCCGGCACAUGGGGACCCAGCACGGCUCACGGUGACCCCCAGCCACCUCUGCCCCACGCUUCAUGGCUCCAGCAUUGCUCUCAUCUCCUCCUUGAACACCCAGGGACAGCCCGCAGUAAAUAAAGCUGGGGCAGAGCAGGCAGAGCUGCUGCUGGAGGUGCCGUUUAUCCACCCGACAGCCCCCGAGAUGCGGUGACGGAGCGCUCAGUUCAUCCGAGUCUUGCCUACUGUAGCAAUUAAGGCUAAUUAAAGCGAGUGGGUAUGAAACAUCA
Molecule: long non-coding RNA, 720 nt
Organism: Coturnix japonica (Japanese quail)
Lineage: Eukaryota; Metazoa; Chordata; Aves; Galliformes; Phasianidae
Source: RefSeq, a predicted model, not a curated record